Molecule: small RNA, 130 nt
Filed under: Klebsiella pneumoniae
Lineage: Bacteria; Pseudomonadati; Pseudomonadota; Gammaproteobacteria; Enterobacterales; Enterobacteriaceae
Description: RtT sRNA
Rfam family: RtT RNA
About the family: This family represents a bacterial cis-regulatory element known as RtT RNA. The exact function of RtT is unknown although it is thought that it may be involved in changing the cellular response in relation to amino acid starvation.
Source: RNAcentral
UAUUCUGCCCCACGGGGAAGGAUGAGAGCUUCGACCAAGGUUCGACUCGAGCGAAGCGAGAGAACGUUGCCGCAGGCAAUGGCCUGAAGGCGAGGCGCUUUAGCGCCGAGUAAUCCUUACCCCACCACUG